This 77-nucleotide transfer RNA is filed under the name Gammaproteobacteria bacterium. RNAcentral describes it as "tRNA-Arg". It matches the Rfam family "tRNA". Rfam says of the family: Transfer RNA (tRNA) molecules are approximately 80 nucleotides in length. The record is from RNAcentral. Lineage: Bacteria; Pseudomonadati; Pseudomonadota; Gammaproteobacteria.
GCCCCGGUUGCCUAAUUGGAUAAGGUACCGGAUUUCUACUCCGGGAUCUGUGGGUUCGAGUCCUUCCCGGGGCGCCA